This 451-nucleotide ribosomal RNA is filed under the name uncultured bacterium. RNAcentral's name for it is "bacterial SSU rRNA". It matches the Rfam family "Bacterial small subunit ribosomal RNA", at positions 354 to 796 of the family's 1533-position model. The record is from RNAcentral.
GUGAGGAAUUUUGCGCAAUGGGGGAAACCCUGACGCAGCAACGCCGCGUGAGUGAUGAAGGCUUUCGAGUCGUAAAGCUCUGUCAAGCGGGAAGAAAGAUGGCCGGGCCAACACCCUGGUCAUUUGACGGUACCGCUGAAGGAAGCACCGGCUAACUCCGUGCCAGCAGCCGCGGUAAUACGGAGGGUGCAAGCGUUAUUCGGAAUCAUUGGGUGUAAAGCGCGUGUAGGCGGCCUGAUAAGUCAGAUGUGAAAGCUCCGGGCUUAACCCGGAAAGUGCAUUUGAAACUGCCAGGCUUGAGUGCGGGAGAGGAAGGUGGAAUUCCCAGUGUAGAGGUGAAAUUCGUAGAUAUUGGGAGGAACACCGGUGGCGAAGGCGACCUUCUGGACCGUCACUGACGCUGAGACGCGAAAGCGUGGGGAGCGAACAGGAUUAGAAACCCCGGUAGUCC